GACGGCGUCCGGCGCGAGAAGUGGCGCCCGCGGGUGGUCUUCCUUGACGCGACCGAUGAGGCGCUCGUGCGGCGGUUCGAGUCCGUUCGCCGUCCCCA
This 98-nucleotide transfer RNA is filed under the name Phycicoccus sp. RNAcentral describes it as "tRNA-OTHER". Lineage: Bacteria; Bacillati; Actinomycetota; Actinomycetes; Micrococcales; Intrasporangiaceae. The record is from RNAcentral.